This 462-nucleotide long non-coding RNA is filed under the name Gallus gallus (chicken). Lineage: Eukaryota; Metazoa; Chordata; Aves; Galliformes; Phasianidae. The record is from RNAcentral.
GUCAGAUGAUCCAGUUUCCUCUUUGGGAUUUUACUCAGAAGCUGCUCAGUAAGAAAUACAGAAGGAGUCAUAAAUGCUGAACCUAGAAGUGCUUCGUUGCACUCUUCUUUCCGAUGCAGAGGUGCCAGCUGCCAGGCCAAGAGCUGGAGCGGCAUGGAGACGGCAGGAGAAAGAAGCAGCAGUAUGGAGGAGUGGAUAUGGAUGUGGAAACGGAUCCAUUCCCAUCUGCUUCACAGACCCCACAUCCCAUCUUCUAAACUGGAAAUUUUAUGUCUACCCAUGGACCGUUUAAGGUUUUUCCUGAAACCAUCCAGGACACUCCAUCUAACAGACUACCAGACUGAUCCAGCUCAAGAGAUCAGACAAUACGAAUAAAUAUCUUGCGCCAAGAAUUGUUUACUCUCAUAGUGGUAAAAUCAGUUCACCUGUACUCUAUUUGCCACAUGCUCUGGCCAAAGGAAC